AGAUUGAACGCUGGCGGCAUGCCUUACACAUGCAAGUCGAACGGCAGCGCGGGAGCAAUCCUGGUGGCGAGUGGCGAACGGGUGAGUAAUAUAUCGGAACGUGCCCAGUCGUGGGGGAUAACGCAGCGAAAGCUGUGCUAAUACCGCAUACGAUCUAUGGAUGAAAGCGGGGGAUCGCAAGACCUCGCGCGAUUGGAGCGGCCGAUAUCAGAUUAGCUAGUUGGUAGGGUAAAAGCCUAACCAAGGCGACGAUCUGUAGCGUGUCUGAGAGGACGACCAGCCACACGUGAACUGAGACACGGUACCAGACCUACCGUACGGGA
RNAcentral lists this ribosomal RNA (323 nucleotides) under uncultured soil bacterium. RNAcentral describes it as "bacterial SSU rRNA". It matches the Rfam family "Bacterial small subunit ribosomal RNA", at positions 26 to 350 of the family's 1533-position model. The record is from RNAcentral.